UACAGAGGUCUCAAGCGUUGUUCGGAUUUAUUGGGCGUAAAGGGUGCGUAGGCGGCGCGGUAAGUCGGGUGUGAAAUCUCGGAGCUUAACUCCGGAACUGCAUUCGAUACUGCCGUGCUUGAGGACUGGAGAGGAGACUGGAAUUUACGGUGUAGCGGUGAAAUGCGUAGAUAUCGUAAGGAAGACCAGUGGCGAAGGCGGGUCUCUGGACAGUUCCUGACGCUGAGGCACGAAGGUCAGGGGAGCAAACGGG
Molecule: ribosomal RNA, 253 nt
Filed under: uncultured bacterium
Lineage: Bacteria
Description: partial 16S ribosomal RNA
Rfam family: Bacterial small subunit ribosomal RNA
Source: RNAcentral